CCGGUUGAUCCUGCCGGACCUGACUGCUAUCGGAUUGAUACUAAGCCAUGCGAGUCUUUGUAGCAAUACAAGGCAGACGGCUCAGUAACGCGUAGUCAACCUACCCUAUGGACGGGAAUAACCUCGGGAAACUGAGUAUAAUGCCCGAUAGAACAUUAUGCCUGGAAGGGUUUAUGUUCCAAAUGAUUUAUCGCCGUAGGAUGGGACUGCGGCCUAUCAGUUUGUUGGUGAGGUAAUGGCCCACCAAGACUAUUACAGGUACGGGCUCUGAGAGGAGUAGCCCGGAGAUGGGUACUGAGACACGGACCCAGGCCCUAUGGGGCGCAGCAGGCGAGAAAACUUUGCAAUGUGCGAAAGCACGACAAGGUUAAUCCGAGUGGUUUCUGCUAAAGGAACCUUUUGUCAGUCGUAAAACCACUAACGAAUAAGGGGUGGGCAAGUUCUGGUGUCAGCCGCCGCGGUAAAACCAGCACCUCAAGUGGUCAGGAUGAUUAUUGGGCCUAAAGCAUCCGUAGCCUGCUCUGUAAGUUUUCGGUUAAAUCUGUAUGCUCAACAUACAGGCUGCCGGGAAUACUGCAGAGCUAGGGAGUGGGAGAGGUAGACGGUACUCGGGAGGAAGUGGUAAAAUGCUUUGAUCUCUCGAUGACCACCUGUGGCGAAGGCGGUCUACCAGAACACGUCCGACGGUGAGGGAUGAAAGCUGGGGGAGCAAACCGGAUUAGAUACCCGGGUAGUCCCAGCUGUAAACUAUGCAAACUCAGUGAUGCAUUGGCUUGUGGCCAAUGCAGUGUUGCAGGGAAGCCGUUAAGUUUGCCGCCUGGGAAGUACGUACGCAAGUAUGAAACUUAAAGGAAUUGGCGGGGGAGCACCACAAGGGGUGAAGCCUGCGGUUCAAUUGGAAUCAACGCCGGA
RNAcentral lists this ribosomal RNA (912 nucleotides) under uncultured archaeon. Its description in RNAcentral is "bacterial SSU rRNA". It matches the Rfam family "Archaeal small subunit ribosomal RNA", at positions 4 to 922 of the family's 1478-position model. The record is from RNAcentral.